Ictidomys tridecemlineatus (thirteen-lined ground squirrel) is the source of this 640-nucleotide non-coding RNA. Lineage: Eukaryota; Metazoa; Chordata; Mammalia; Rodentia; Sciuridae. The record is from RefSeq and is a predicted model, not a curated record.
ACCUUGCCCAGCAGCGCCGACCUGCGGACGGGCGAGAGGCCGGGGUGUCAUCGCGCACCAUCCCCAGGACGCUGAGCGACGGGGCCCGGUGCAGGGUGAGCCCCAGCUAUGCGGCAGAGACCCCGGUGCGGUGCUCCUCACUACUGGCAGCUGGACAGCCUCGUGCAUCCUUUCAACUGGGUGCCAAGCCCUGUCCAGAGCAUUGGACCUAAAGUCAUCUAUUGUCCCACUUCAUGGCCAUAAGGAAACUUUAAGAGUCUUGCCGGGGCUGUUCCUGAAUUUGCGAUCUUUCUACCUCAGUCUCCUAAAUCACUGUGAUUACAGAUAAGAAAAACCAGGAUACAGAAAGGCAAAGUCACUUGGACCCUGGAUUUGAGUCCUUCAGAGCCGGGGCUGGAAGCCUUUGCACUGGGAUACUAAUGCACAGCAGGAGGUGAGCAAUACAGGACCCAGCACCAGGGCCUCCUGCAGAGCACAGCUCAGACUGCAGGAUCCACCUUCCAUCGGGAUCCCAGCCCCAGAUAAAGAGACUGACAGCCGCCGGGCACAGAGGCACACACCUGUAAUCCUAGUGGUUCUGGAGGCUGAGGCAGGAGGAUGGUAAAUUCAAAGGCAGCCUCAGUAAUGAUGAGGUGCUAAG